This 2069-nucleotide long non-coding RNA is filed under the name Homo sapiens (human). RNAcentral describes it as "HSALNT0043929". The record is from RNAcentral. Lineage: Eukaryota; Metazoa; Chordata; Mammalia; Primates; Hominidae.
AAGACCCUCCCCCCGCGUCUUCAGAGGAGCGCUGUUUCUGGAGGAGUUAGGGGAAGGAGGCUGCCUGGUAAGCCAGGAAAGGGGCUUCUGGCCGUUCUGUUGGAGCGCCUCUGACUGACUUCCCCCAUGUGUCCGUGUGGCCACACCGUGCUACUUUCAGAGGCAGUGGGCUUUUCGCUAAGGGAUAAAAAGAAGUAAAACCUUGCCUUUAGCGCAGCUCUCCUUCACUGGGCAGAUUGCUCUCCCUCCCCACUCUCCCAGGCCCAAAUUGGAUCUCAGCGCCUGGGAGCUCCAACUUUAGCAAGUGCGAAAUCCUGUCUUCGGUUUUGGAAUUUUCAUCCGCACAGACUAUAUCAGCCACGGAUAGGAUAUGUGAGAAUACCAGCAUGUCAAGGCUGGGAAUCAUCCUUAGGCAUCACCUAGCCAGUCCUGCCUCUCAUUUUAAGAUGAUAGCCAAUGACUCUACUUCCUCCAUCACUGAUUGGCUCAUUCCAUUGUACUUCCAUGCUGUCCCUGGAGGACAGUGUGACAACUGGAGUGCCAGGAGGACCAGGAACUUUGAAUGGAUAUUGGGCUACAGUAGGCUCUGAAUUGAGAGAAUAGACGCCUUGAUGGCUCCUCUGGCAGUUCUUGAUGACCAUGGAUGAGCUAAUGGCUGUGGUCUCAAUGGUGGCUUCUUGAGGAACUACUUACAGAUUGGAUCAUGUGCUGUUUUGGGAUCUGAAGGUGGACUGAACUUUCCAGGUCCAGCUGCAUUUUCAGCACAUACUCUGAAGACAUAGCUGAUUGAGAAACUUACCAAACUGAUAUUUGGCUGUUAUUGGAGAGGCCUGAACUGGUUCACCAACACCAUACAUGUUUUCUGCAGCAACUCUGAAGAUGUACUCUUUAUUGGGGAUUAAUUUGGUGGCCUUGAAGUUUGUAUCCUUGACGGUGGAUGAGAGCUUGUGCCACACUUCACUAUCAGUUGCUCGUCUCUCCACAACAUAGUUUGUGAUCUUAGAUCCACCAUCAUCGCGUGGUGGGUUCCAUGUUAGAAGACAUGACUCAUUGGUUACAUCUGUGAUGUCAAAGGCAGCUGGUGGUCCGGGUUUAUCUGUGUAUGGCAUUACAGAUGCAGAAAAAAAAAUUGUUCACCAUUUUUUUUAUUUUUUUCUUUCAAGAAAGUAACUGCAAAGAGUUUAUCCCCUUUUAAAAUGAGAACCUUCCUUACCUAAGACGUUCACUUCCACCACAGCAGUGGCCCGGCCACACACAUUCACAGCCUCAAUGAUAUAUGUGCCAGUGUCACUUCUCUUACUAUCAACAAUAGUCACUGUGGAUUUCUUAGGGACAUUUUCAAUGGUAAUUCUUUUGUCCUGCUUCAGAAUCAUAUCAGCCUUUGUCCAAGUUAUUUUAGGUUCAGGUUUUCCGGUUACGGUGGCAGGAAGUUCAAUCUUGGUCCCAGCUUUUACAGUGAGACCAGCAAGGAGCUUCACAUCGAGGAAGAUUUCUGGGGCCUCUGAAUUGGAAAAGAUUAUUUAUGAUGUUAUCAAGUUCAAGCAGAUUUAAGGUUCUCCACAGGCAACCCAUUUAUCAGAACCACGUGGACAUCUUUCAACUAUCCUGGACAACAACCAUGUUAUUUCUUAGCCAUUGGACUUCCACCUUAUCUUUAUUGAGUUCUGCUAAAAAGACAACAUCAGCACCAGGGGCUUCAAGAAUAUCUUGUGGAGGCCUGAUGAUCUCAACAGGAAUUUCUGGAAAGAAAAUGUGAAAUAAAUACAAAUAUGUUUACAUUUUGAUUAACAAUUUUAAAAAAUUGGUAACAUUAGAAUUGUUUUUUCACUUAAUAUGUACCUUCCACAAAAAGUCUAGCACGAGACUUCCUGUCUUCUACCCCGCAAGCAUAUUCACACUCAUCAUCCAGCCUGCAAUCUUUUAUAAUGAGUCUGUGUAUACUUCCAUCUUUUUCAAAUUUGUAUCUAAAGGAGACAUUGGAUUAUCAGUUAGCUUGCAAUGAUGGCCACUAAAUUGUCAAAAGUGUAUAUAUAGCUACAGAAAUAGAGAAUAAAAAGAUCUUGCUUACU